AACGAACGCUAGCGGUGUGGAUUAGGCAUGCAAGUCGCGCGCGAAAGCCUUCGGGCGAGUAAAGCGGCGAAAGGGUGAGUAACACGUAACCAACGUACCCUCAGACUGGGAUAACCACUGGAAACGGUGGAUAAUACCGGAUGGUCCACUGGGCAGCAUUGCCUGGCUGGUAAACGGCGGCCGCAAGGCGGUUGCUGAGGGAGCGGGUUGCGGCCUAUCAGCUUGUUGGUGAGGUAACGGCUCACCAAGGCUAUGACGGGUAACAGGUCUGAGAGGAUGAUCUGUCACACUGGGACUGAGACACUGCCCAGACUCCUACGGGAGGCUGCAGUCGAGAAUCUUCCACAAUGGCGGAAAGACCUGAUGGAGCGACACCGCGUGCAGGAUGAA
This 390-nucleotide ribosomal RNA is filed under the name uncultured bacterium. Its description in RNAcentral is "bacterial SSU rRNA". It matches the Rfam family "Bacterial small subunit ribosomal RNA", at positions 29 to 412 of the family's 1533-position model. The record is from RNAcentral.